AUGGAGCGGGAGCGGGGGCCGGCGGCCUCCAGAGCGCGGAGCGCGGCGCGGCGGCCGGGUGUCGGGACGGUGAGUGGCCGGGGGCGCGGGGCCGGCCCCCCUGACGUCAGGAGCGCGGCAGGUGCAGGCGGACGCCAGGCUGGGCGGCGGCGCGAGGGGGCGCCGGCGGGGCCGGGCACGGGCAGGGGCACGAGCGGUGCGCCCCGCGGCCGGCUGCCCCGGGAAACGCGAGGCGAGUGCGCGCCGCCGCCGGCUGCCCCGGCGGGAGGCCUCGGAGGAGGCGGGAGGGAGGCAGGGAGGGAGGCAGGGAGGGCGCGGCAGGUGCCGGGGCGCACGCAGGCGCAGGCCCGCGGGUCGGGGCAGGACGGACGCGCCUCCCCGGGGCGCAGAGAGGCGCCGGGCCUCCACCUGCGGCUGCGGCUGCGGCUGCGGCGGGGCCCGGGAAGGGACGCCAAGCGCACAAGUUUCUCGGGCGUCUGGGCUUUGUCGGCGCCAGCUGCGCCGCAGGCACCUCGGGGGCGGGGGCGGGGGCGGGAGCGGGGGGGCUGCGCCGGCGGGUCCCCAGCCCCGGCCACGCGGGCGGCACCGUCCCUGCGGCAGCGCGGGCACCGGCUCGGUGCGGCGGCCGGAGCGGGCGAGGGAGGACGGGAACCCGGAUGCGCACCGGGGCCUGCGCGGCCUUCCUCGGAGGACGGGAGCCGGCGGCGGCCGGAGCGGGGCAGGGGCAGGGGCAGGGGCAGGGGCAGGGGCAGGCCCGCGGGCAGGGGCGGGCGGCGCGCACGCGCUCGCUGGUGGGCGUGGGCGGCUGAGCCGGCGGCGGCGCUGCCCGGGAGGCGCGGGGGAGCCUCGGUACUUUUCCAGCCGGAGGGACCAGCUCAGCUCCGCGUGGCCCGCCGCCCCUCCCGCUGCCUGCUGCCCCGGUGCCUUCCGUCGCACCGGAACCGGCUGCCGGGCGCCCGGGCUGGGACCCCGCGCCCAGCACAGACCGCGCUGGCGGGUGCAGCGGGGGAGAGGAAGCCUCUGGUUUCCGCAGGUCUGCGUGUGACCCGGGGGCCAGCGCGCUGGCGCGGGAGGAGCUGCUGGAGCACCCAGAAGGCGCUCAGGGCUCCAACAGCGUCCCAGGAGGCCUGGCAACGCGGCGGCAGGUGGCUGCUAUCACUCCCAUUUUACAGUUGA
This 1176-nucleotide long non-coding RNA is filed under the name Canis lupus familiaris (dog). Its description in RNAcentral is "lncRNA (ENSCAFG00030012343.1)". Lineage: Eukaryota; Metazoa; Chordata; Mammalia; Carnivora; Canidae. The record is from RNAcentral.